UUCAUACAUUAAGAUGCUUUAUCUUAAGGAAGGCUUAGGGACAAGGCUUCAGUUUCCUCUUUAAAAAUCACAAUACCUUCCUGAUGGUGUGCAGGUGUGUGAUGUCUUGUGUCCUCUGUGAUCACAGCAGCAUGUCCUGUCAACCUGCCUCAGUAUCUUGUAUGAUACUGCACAGGAUUUAUUUAUUUUUUGAGGAGGGAGGAUUUUUCUUGGACUGCCUGGCACUGCUACUUGAUGCUACAAAACUCUUGUCCAAGCAAAAAAAGAAAAGUAGUACUCAUAUAAUAGUACUCUCUCUGUCGAUGAACCCAUAUUACUUUCCCAGUAAUCCACAGGAAUGAACACAAAGCUCUCUCUGAGGUAAAUUUGAGUCAUUCCUUGAAGCCCAGUGUCAGCUAACUUUUGGAUAUCUUGUCCUGCCUCAUGUUCCCAUGUUUGCUGCAUUCCCUGUUUCCCCACUCCUACUUUUGGGGCUGUAAGGAAACAGUGUCAUGAAUAGCAAACAUUAAGGGUAUUUGUGAGAGGUGAAAUUAAUUUGUUGGAGUUGGUGUGGGUAAGGAAAGGUGCUAUUAUUGCACAGGCCAGAAAGGUGAAAGUAGGAUGACAGUGGUUAUGGUAAUGAUGAAAAGCAACAAGCAGUUCAGGUGUUGGUAGUGAAGAGGAGUCACUGACAACAAUGGCAGUUUAAAUAAAAUGACACUGAAAAUGGUUGUGGCUAAUUGGGGACAUGACUGUGAUGAAUAAGAGGAACACGACUAAUGGAAAAUCUGAGAUGUUUGUGCCUGUGAUUCAGGAUGCUACUGUUGGCUCUGGAGUUGUAUUUGAUUUCAGUGCUUUUAUUGAGACAUAUCCUAAAGCUGUACUUUAGCUACAUAAGAGAACUGAUUUUAUCUUCUUCUUCUUUUGUCUUUCCCUCAUGCCUCUCUCACAGUUUCACUCUGUCUCUUUCUCUCUAACACACAGUUUUAUUAAUAUUGCGGUCUUAUCAUUUAAUUAGUCCUGGGAACUGUUUAAAAGUGGUAUAGAAAUCUAACAAACAAAUGAAUACAUAGUAUUAAAUGAGCUGCUUCUGAUAAGUAGUCUCAGUCUAUUGGUUCCCUGAGGAACCAUGCCCUCUUGGAAGGUGAAAUGUGAACAUGAUGUCUCAGGAAAAUGAAAAUGAAUUUCAAGGAAGUUUGAAAAUGUGGUUUGGUUAGGAAAGGGUAAAUAGAUUAAAUCCAAAGUAAUUUCAGAAGCUUUAAAGAACAUGUUACUAUGGAAACAUCAACCCACAAAGGGGAGAGAGAGAGAGAGAGAGAGAGAGAGAAGGAAGAAUAGAGAAAAUUGGGAACUUUUUUUUUUUUUUGGAAAGGAGGAACUGUCAUGCUCAAACCCCCACAGAAUAUUGACAAAAUAAUGAUAAUAACUGUUCUUUUUAAUUAACUUCCCAUAAAAAAUAUUAUGUUGGGGGCUGAAACAGCUCUGAACCACGGACUAUAUAUAUAUAUAUAUAUAUAUUAUAUUAUUGGUGCCACAGUACAUUAAUGUUUUCGAAUGUGAAGCUCAAUAAACAAUAGUUUUAUUCCAUUGCUGGAAUUUGAUCCAGUGUUCCUACAUGAGGCAUGCUAGGAUUUGUGUCACUCAGAUGGUGAUGGCUUAGGGCAGCAUAGCAUUUUUUCAUUAAAUUCUGAGGUCUUCUAGAGUGCUUCCAGUAAAGUAGUGUCAGCACAUUCCUCUGCUUUUCAUUUGGGACAGUAAGGUUGCUUCAGACAUUAUAUUGUUGUAAGUUUUCUUUGGGGGGGUGGCAGUCUGUAUGAUGCCCGAGUCCCUUCUAAUCCCCAGUCCACCAAGGGUUAAAUCUAAUGGAGAAUUCCAUUGUUGAGUUAGCAAGGCAAGAGUCAUGGUCGCCACCAACACAAGUACUACAUCAGUACAGUAUGGUCAUUACGGGGGGUGGCUUUGUGACAGAGGACACAUGGGUGGGCCCACUCCAUCACCUGGCUGGUUGUGAGAGAGACAGAGUUGUAUAUGAGAGAGCUGGCCUAGAAGCAGGCAGAAGCCAGAGAGACAGAACCAUUCUAGAUUUCUGCUUGAAUUCACGGCUGUAACUAUGGGAGAAGCAAUACCUCCUGGGGUGUUAAUGCUGUGAGCCCCUCCAUGCUGAACACCCCUUCUUAUUUUCUGCUGUCCUUGGGAUACUUUCCAAUUUGUGCCUUCCAUGUGUCAGAACCUGACCCCCUCUUUCCUUUCUGCAUUAUCUCUUCUUCUUGAGCAGCAGAAAUAUAUCUGCAGAGAAGGGAAGGUUUAUUCUGUCUAUGACUAUUGCCAAGGUUUAGCUCUCUUAAAAAAGUACUGUCUCUAGUCCACUUGUAAUCUCCCUUAGUAAAUAAAUCUGAAAGCACUGAAACAGUCCAUAAAAGAAGAGAAAGUUGUUUAAAUGUCAAUCUUGUGAUGUACAGGAUUCUAACCCCACCUGUUCCUGUUCCUAUAGGAAAAGAAGCACAAGAAAAAUUCUCACCCUCACAUUCUACCAUCACUUCUUAGCCAUUUUGCAUGGAAUUGUUUUGCCACAAAUUCUACCUGACACUUCCCAGAUGUUCUCCCCGAACAACCAGAUGCACCUACAUCCCUCAGCUGAACAAGCCGUCAGCACCAUAGUAGUUGACGUGGCACAGGAUGCUGGUGGAGCAUGGGUUGGGGUGCGGGAUGAGUGAUACAAGAUUUGGCAGUUCACCUGUGAUAUGCACCAGAAAACAGUAGGAGUCUAAUCUGGAACUGAACUGAAUUCAUUUGGGUCUCUUAGAUUGCUCUUUAUCUCUCAUGAGAACAGGCUGUUCUGAGAAUUUUUAAGGUCUAAAGUUGGGUCUGAAGUAAGCCUGCAUGUCAGCUCAUUGUGUGGCUUCCAAGAUAAAGGUAGAUGAGAUGGAAGGGAAAACAUGUAGCAUGUAUUUAAUUUAAUUUAAUUUAAUUUAAUUAAUUUAUACACCACCAAAUCAACUAUGUCCUAUGAGCAUUUCACAAUUUACGUAAACGUUUGCAGAACAAAGGUGUGGCCAAGAUGCUGAGCCAGGAACUCGAAAAAUUUCUUUUGCUAUCUCUUUUCCUGCCAUCAUUUCUAAUUAGGAGGCCCUUGUCAUCUGAUGAAGGAUGACCAUAUGGAAUAGAAAUAGGAAAUCCUAAGUUGAUUGACAUACAUCUUUAAAAGGCGUGUCAAUCAACAAAGGAUUUCUUCUCUCCAUCCCUUUGAGAAUGUCGUCUAAAAGAUCUAAAAACAAUGCCCAUAGAUGUUAGUGCUCUUUCUUUAAGAUUCAGCUGUUCUCAACUGUUAUUUUUUGUCAGCUCAUCAGCACUCUUUCUCUCCAUUCUCAAAAUGCCUUUGUUUCC
Molecule: non-coding RNA, 3363 nt
Organism: Podarcis lilfordi (Lilford's wall lizard)
Lineage: Eukaryota; Metazoa; Chordata; Lepidosauria; Squamata; Lacertidae
Source: the annotation of a GenBank genome assembly